GUCUGAAUUUUAGGUUAGUAUCUCACACGUCAUCAGUUUCGUCGUGGGAUCGAUUGUUACGUUACUACCUGUGUUCGAUUCUUGCCUAACAAUUAGAUUAUAAACUCGAGAUUUUUAUCGCGUGAUAUUUGAAGGCUGAAUCAACUAUCAUACAUAUCAUACAUGAAUCGACUACCAUACAAACCGAAUCGUGAGGGAAUAAUACCGUAAAUCUACUAGUCAUUUAAAACUUUACACCAUGACAGAACGCUUCAUGUUUCUGUGCUUGUUUUUAUUUCCAAUCACAAGCCGUGGGUCCACGCAUCCUACUCACUGCCUGUUGUGGAAUUGAUGGCGAGUUGCUUGGCCAUUCAGAUUACAGCAUUUGGAUUGGUGAAAACAUUGUGUUUCUAGACUAACCCCUCGGCACAAAAAGGUUAAGAAAAACAAGUAUUUAAUUGGCAUUCAACUCCAACGAUCGAUUAACUUAUGAUAAAAGUGUCAUAUUUCCCCAAGAAAAAUAAUUAAACUUGAUAACGAUUCAGCGAUAGAACUUGAUAAUAUCAUGGUUCUUCAGAGCAACUGAGUGACAUCGCCAACAAUCAUGUGACCGUGGCUCAUCCCACGCUGAUCUUUAAGGUUACUCAAACGCGUGCUCAAACUCCACAAAGGGGCAGGAGAUGAGGUCAUCAUAUAGUAACAUGUAUUCAAAGAUCGCCAAGUGGUUCUUCAUCUGUUCGGAUUUGUUGAAUGUUUUUAGGUUUCGAGAGACAUACUGUACUCACGCUGCUUGAGGUUAUGGCGGCUUCUCUUGUCAGUUUUCUUUGCUCCGAAUUCGUACUGUAGAUUGAUCGAUGAAUUACCAACUAGUACUGUAAAGUUUAUCUUGGCUAACGGAGAUAGGAUGGAUCAGAAGUUACAGUCGAGUAAACGUCAUGAGAAACAUUACUUGUCCCCAGACCUUGCCCGAGCACCGAACGCUCACAUGACAUAUCAACAAAAGAGUAUUUACUUCUGCUUUUCUUUGAUUCUUUCGUUCACUACCUUCCGUCUCUUGUAAGUCAUGGAUGAACGUAACAGAAACAACUCUGACAUGUUGCGAGAACUUAGCGACACCGAGGAAAGAAUUGUUAGGGGAGAAGUUCACCCCAAUAAUCAGGAAGCCCAGCUGAUGCGUGAAUUCCUGGCUCAAGCCAAGAAGGCAUUGGAUUUUGCCUCAGGAGUGAUAGACUUAAUGGAACAAAAACUUCCACCUGAACCAGAACCAAAACCUGAACCUGAACUGGAACCUCAACCUAAGAAGAAGAAAAAGUCUCACUAAAAGAGAGUGUUGGUAGUUAAGCCAAGUUCAACUUGACCACCUGAUUUCUCUCACUUGAUUCCUGUUGUGUAGGAGUAUUAUUUAGGUGACCUUUGUGUAGAUCCUGUAGUUGUAGGGAAAACUGUCACUACCAUAGCCUUAGUAUAAUAAAUUUUGUUUAGUCCUCCAAUCCAUCAUAAUUUGGGAAAGCUUUUAUUCAGUGGUUCUAUUGGAGUAGUUGGUUGUAGACAAAGCAUUGACAGUCCUCUGGACAAGUAGUUAAGCAUAUCUGUAUGUGAAAUUAUUGUUAGACAUGUGACUCUCAAACUGAGUGAAUAACAACUAGUGAAUUUAAUGACCAAAUAGGGGAAAAAGUAAUGUGACAAGUGACCAAAGAUAAAAUUAUCUGAACAGUUAUCAAUAACACUUGGUGUGUCAUAGAAAUUUCCUGUUUGUCUCAGGCAAUUGCUUUGGUUUUGUAUUCUUUAUUUAGACCUUGUGGGACUUUGCAUUCUGGCUUUAUUUAGAAAAAUUUUCUCAUUUUAAUAGCUUUCUGUUGAUAUUAUUUGUCUAGUUUGACCCUAAGCCUAACAGCAUUUGUACACUGAUGUUUUAUAAACUUGCUCAUUUUGCUAUUGUUUCUUCAGUGAUUCACUUUAUCACAGCUUGAAUUUCUUUUUCAAUCAUUGGUUGUAAAUAUUUCUCUAAAUUCAGUCUCACUUUGUGCCGAGUCAUCGGCUGUUACUGUUUUUUCUCAUUUUAAACUGGACUAGCGUUUGUUACAUAAUUUUGUUACAGCGUAACUCCUGAUGUUAACCUUUGGUUGUGUUCUUCGUGUAAUGGUUUGCAAAUUUUAUCGCUUUUACUUUUUAAAUUCAUUUACAUCAAUUGAUAUGGUAUUUAGGCUUAUCUUAGAUUGGUUAUUUUCCAUUAUUUUAAUGUUACUCAUUCCGGGUUUUCUCCUUAAUUUAUUGUUCGUCCUGAUAUUUUAAUAAAC
This 2276-nucleotide long non-coding RNA is filed under the name Pocillopora damicornis (cauliflower coral). RNAcentral describes it as "uncharacterized LOC113676431". Lineage: Eukaryota; Metazoa; Cnidaria; Anthozoa; Scleractinia; Pocilloporidae. The record is from RNAcentral.